GAUGAACGCUGGCGGCGUGCCUAAUACAUGCAAGUCGAGCGAACAGACGAGGAGCUUGCUCCUCUGACGUUAGCGGCGGACGGGUGAGUAACACGUGGAUAACCUACCUAUAAGACUGGGAUAACUUCGGGAAACCGGAGCUAAUACCGGAUAAUAUAUUGAACCGCAUGGUUCAAUAGUGAAAGACGGUUUUGCUGUCACUUAUAGAUGGAUCCGCGCCGCAUUAGCUAGUUGGUAAGGUAACGGCUUACCAAGGCAACGAUGCGUAGCCGACCUGGGAGGGUGAUAGGCCACCCGGGAAGUGAGACACGGUCAAGACGCCUACGGGAGGGCGCAGUAGGGAAUCGUCCGCAAGGGGCGAGAGCCUGACGCAGCAAGCCCGCGUGAGUGAUAAAGGUCUUCGGUUGGUAAAACUCGAUUACUGGGGAAAAACAAAUGUGUAAGGAAAUAUACCGGUAUUGACGGUACCUAAUCAAAAAGCAACGGCUAACUACGUG
RNAcentral lists this ribosomal RNA (497 nucleotides) under uncultured bacterium. RNAcentral describes it as "partial 16S ribosomal RNA". It matches the Rfam family "Bacterial small subunit ribosomal RNA", at positions 28 to 507 of the family's 1533-position model. The record is from RNAcentral.